RNAcentral lists this ribosomal RNA (504 nucleotides) under uncultured bacterium. RNAcentral's name for it is "partial 16S ribosomal RNA". It matches the Rfam family "Bacterial small subunit ribosomal RNA", at positions 29 to 523 of the family's 1533-position model. The record is from RNAcentral.
AUUGAACGCUGGCGGCAGGCCUAACACAUGCAAGUCGGACGGUAGCACAGAGAGCUUGCUCUUGGGUGACGAGUGGCGGACGGGUGAGUAAUGUCUGGGGAUCUGCCCGAUAGAGGGGGAUAACCACUGGAAACGGUGGCUAAUACCGCACAACGUCGCAAGACCAAAGAGGGGGACCUUCGGGCCUCUCACUAUCGGAUGAACCCAGAUGGGAUUAGCUAGUAGGCGGGGUAAUGGCCCACCUAGGCGACGAUCCCUAGCUGGUCUGAGAGGAUGACCAGCCAAAAUGGAACUGGGACACGGUCCCGACUCCUGCGGGAGGCAGCAGUGGGGAAUAUUGCACAAUGGGCGCAAGCCUGAUGCAGCCAUGCCGCGUGUAUGAAGAAGGCCUUCGGGUUGUAAAGUACUUUCAGCGGGGAGGAAGGCGGUGAGGUUAAUAACUUCACCGAUUGACGUUACCCGCAGAAGAAGCACCGGCUAACUCCGUGCCAGCCGCCGCCGUAA